This 875-nucleotide ribosomal RNA is filed under the name uncultured bacterium. Its description in RNAcentral is "bacterial SSU rRNA". It matches the Rfam family "Bacterial small subunit ribosomal RNA", at positions 28 to 896 of the family's 1533-position model. The record is from RNAcentral.
GACGAACGCUAGCGGCGUGCCUAAGCUAUGCAAGUCGAGCGGGGUUUCAGUGCUGAGUUUCCUUCGGGAGGCGAAGCGUUGUGACCUAGCGGCAAACGGGUGAGUAACACGUGAGCAACCUGCCCCGCUGACCGGGAUAACCACUCGAAAGGGCGGCUAAUACCGGAUAGGAAGCUCCAUUGCAUGAUGGAGCUAGGAAAGGGGAAACUCGCAGCGGGAGAGGCUCGCGGCCUAUCAGCUAGUUGGUGAGGUAACGGCUCACCAAGGCGACGACGGGUAGCCGACCUGAGAGGGUGACCGGCCACACUGGGACUGAGACACGGCCCAGACUCCUACGGGAGGCAGCAAGCGGGAAUAUUGCGCAAUGGGCGAAAGCCUGACGCAGCGACGCCGCUUGAGGGAUGAAGGCCUUCGGGUCGUAAACCUCUGUUGACGGGGACGAAGCUCUGACGGUACCCGUUGAGGAAGCUCCGGCUAACUCCGUGCCAGCAGCCGCGGUAACACGGAGGGGGCAAGCGUUGUCCGGAUUUACUGGGCGUGAAGCGCGCGUAGGCGGUCCACUAAGUCGGCUGUGAAAGCGCUGGGCUCAACCCGGCAAGGUCAGUCGAUACUGGUGGACUCGAGUCCGGGAGAGGGAAGCGGAAUUGCUGGUGUAGCGGUGGAAUGCGUAGAUAUCAGCAAGAACACCGGUGGCGAAGGCGGCUUCCUGGACCGGCACUGACGCUGAGGCGCGAAAGCUAGGGGAGCGAACCGGAUUAGAUACCCGGGUAGUCCUAGCCGUAAACGAUGGUCACUAGGUGUUGGGGGUAUCGACCCCCCCAGUGCCGAAGCUAACGCAUUAAGUGACCCGCCUGGGGAGUACGGCCGCAAGGCUG